UAAGUAUGUGUUUCAUUAUAAAUUUCGGUGAUAGUAACCCGUUGAGUUUUUCGCCGGAUAUUCUCAGUGGGUCGCGAUUCCAAUCCGAUAGUAGAUUCUGCG
Bombyx mori (domestic silkworm) is the source of this 102-nucleotide non-coding RNA. The record is from RefSeq and is marked provisional. NCBI's taxonomy places the organism in Eukaryota, Metazoa, Arthropoda, Insecta, Lepidoptera, Bombycidae.